Molecule: unclassified non-coding RNA, 359 nt
Filed under: Hevea brasiliensis (rubber tree)
Lineage: Eukaryota; Viridiplantae; Streptophyta; Magnoliopsida; Malpighiales; Euphorbiaceae
Source: RNAcentral
GAACAAUGGCGCUGUCUUAAGUGGCACAGUGGAGCAGCUCUGAAGAUGCAAAGAUACACGAAAAAACUUCCAGAACAUCUGGGAGAAUAUUUAAUGGAAAAUCGCUUGGUUAAAACCUGACACUUUUAACAGUGAACAGCGUUCUGAGUGUGGACGAGUAGCCAGUGAAGAUAAUGAAUGUCGAAUGUGACUGACUAGCAGCUUCAUUUUGAAUGAGGGUCGCUGUCUGCCCAUUGAUAGAGGCCAGAUUGUCUUGGAAGUUCCAAAGUUGCAACGAUUUCUGGCUAGUGCCACGAGGUUUACUUGACUGUUGUGUGAAAAGCUGAUAAGAAAACCAUCCAGAAAAAAGCUCUUCGUUU